AGAGUUUGAUCCUGGCUCAGGAUGAACGCUAGCGGCAGGCUUAACACAUGCAAGUCGAGGGGCCGCAUGUCCAGCAAUGGAUGAUGGCGACCGGCGGAAGGGUGCGUAACGCGUGAGCAACAUGCCCUAUACAGGGAGAUACACCAGGGAAACUUGGUCUAAUAUCCCAUAGCAUUCAUUGAAGGCAUCUUUAAUGAAUUAAAGCUUCGGUGGUAUAGGAUUGGCUCGCGUGACAUUAGCCAGAUGGUGAGGUAACGGCUCACCAUAGCAAUGAUGUCUAGGGGUUUUGAGAGGAAGGCCCCCCACACUGGGACUGAGACACGGCCCAGACUCCUACGGGAGGCAGCAGUGAGGAAUAUUGGACAAUGGAUGGAAAUCUGAUCCAGCCAUGCCGCGUGCAGGAAGACGGCCUUAUGGGUUGUAAACUGCUUUUAUACGGGAGCAAUAAGGGUUACGAGUAAUCCGAUGAGAGUACUGUAUGAAUAAGGAUCGGCUAACUCCGUGCCAGCAGCCGCGGUAAUACGGAGGAUCCUAGCGUUAUCCGGAUUUAUUGGGUUUAAAGGGAGCGUAAGGCGGGGGUCAAGUCAGCUGUGAAAUACGUACGCUUAACGUUCGUCUUGCAGUUGAAACUGGUUUUCUUUGAGUGGCGUAUGAGGCAGGCGGGAAUUCGUGGUGUAGCGGUGAAAUGCUUAGAUAUCACGAGGAACUCCUAUUGCGAAGGCAGCUUGCUGGGUCCGCUACUGACGCUGAUGCUCGAAGGUGCGGGUAUCGAACAGGAUUAGAUACCCUGGUAGUCCACGCCGUAAACUAUGAUUACUCGUUGUUUGCGAUAUACUGUAAGCGACUGCGCGAAAGCAUUAAGUAAUCCACCUGGGGAGUACGUUGGCAACAAUGAAACUCAAAGGAAUUGACGGGGGCCCGCACAAGCGGAGGAACAUGUGGUUUAAUUCGAUGAUACGCGAGGAACCUUACCCGGGCUUAAAUGGGAAGUGACAGUUUUGGAAACAAAAUUUUCUUCGGACACUCUUCAAGGUGCUGCAUGGUUGUCGUCAGCUCGUGCCGUGAGGUGUCGGGUUAAGUCCCAUAACGAGCGCAACCCCUAUCGAUAGUUACCAGCACGUAGUGGUGGGGACUCUAUUGAGACUGCCGGUGUAAACCGUGAGGAAGGUGGGGAGGACGUCAAAUCAGCACGGCCCUUACGUCCAGGGCUACACACGUGUUACAAUGGCCGGUACAAAGGGCAGCUACUUCGUGAGAAGAUGCGAAUCCCAAAAACCAGUCUCAGUUCGGAUCGAAGUCUGCAACCCGACUUCGUGAAGCUGGAUUCGCUAGUAAUCGCGCAUCAGCCAUGGCGCGGUGAAUACGUUCCCGGGCCUUGUACACACCGCCCGUCA
This 1394-nucleotide ribosomal RNA is filed under the name uncultured bacterium. RNAcentral's name for it is "16S ribosomal RNA". It matches the Rfam family "Bacterial small subunit ribosomal RNA". The record is from RNAcentral.